This 1287-nucleotide ribosomal RNA is filed under the name metagenome. RNAcentral's name for it is "bacterial SSU rRNA". It matches the Rfam family "Bacterial small subunit ribosomal RNA", at positions 242 to 1520 of the family's 1533-position model. The record is from RNAcentral.
UAGCUAGUUGGUGAGGUAACGGCUUACCAAGGCGACGAUCUGUAGCGGGUCUGAGAGGAUGAUCCGCCACACUGGAACUGAGACACGGUCCAGACUCCUACGGGAGGCAGCAGUGGGGAAUUUUGGACAAUGGGGGCAACCCUGAUCCAGCCAUGCCGCGUGAGUGAAGAAGGCCUUCGGGUUGUAAAGCUCUUUCGGCCGGGAAGAAAUCGCAUGGGCCAAUACCCUGUGUGGAUGACGGUACCGGAAUAAGAAGCACCGGCUAACUACGUGCCAGCAGCCGCGGUAAUACGUAGGGUGCGAGCGUUAAUCGGAAUUACUGGGCGUAAAGCGUGCGCAGGCGGUUUUGUAAGACAGGCGUGAAAUCCCCGGGCUCAACCUGGGAACUGCGCUUGUGACUGCAAGGCUAGAGUACGGCAGAGGGGGGUGGAAUUCCACGUGUAGCAGUGAAAUGCGUAGAGAUGUGGAGGAACACCAAUGGCGAAGGCAGCCCCCUGGGUCGAUACUGACGCUCAUGCACGAAAGCGUGGGUAGCAAACAGGAUUAGAUACCCUGGUAGUCCACGCCCUAAACUAUGUCAACUAGGUGUUGGGUGGGUAAAACCAUUUAGUACCGUAGCUAACGCGUGAAGUUGACCGCCUGGGGAGUACGGCCGCAAGGUUAAAACUCAAAGGAAUUGACGGGGACCCGCACAAGCGGUGGAUGAUGUGGAUUAAUUCGAUGCAACGCGAAAAACCUUACCUACCCUUGACAUGCCAGGAACUUGCCAGAGAUGGCUUGGUGCCCGAAAGGGAGCCUGGACACAGGUGCUGCAUGGCUGUCGUCAGCUCGUGUCGUGAGAUGUUGGGUUAAGUCCCGCAACGAGCGCAACCCUUGUCGUUAAUUGCCAUCAUUUAGUUGGGCACUUUAGCGAGACUGCCGGUGACAAACCGGAGGAAGGUGGGGAUGACGUCAAGUCCUCAUGGCCCUUAUGGGUAGGGCUUCACACGUCAUACAAUGGUCGGUACAGAGGGUCGCCAAGCCGCGAGGUGGAGCCAAUCCCAGAAAGCCGAUCGUAGUCCGGAUUGCAGGCUGCAACUCGCCUGCAUGAAGUCGGAAUCGCUAGUAAUCGUGGAUCAGCAUGUCACGGUGAAUACGUUCCCGGGUCUUGUACACACCGCCCGUCACACCAUGGGAGCGGGUUCCGCCAGAAGUAGGUAGCCUAACCGCAAGGAGGGCGCUUACCACGGCGGGGUUCGUGACUGGGGUGAAGUCGUAACAAGGUAGCCGUAGGGGAACCUGCGGCUG